This 86-nucleotide non-coding RNA is filed under the name Kytococcus sp. HMSC28H12. RNAcentral's name for it is "Glycine riboswitch aptamer". It matches the Rfam family "Glycine riboswitch aptamer". From Rfam's summary of the family: This family represents the bacterial glycine riboswitch. RNAcentral also lists the same sequence under 1 other name. Lineage: Bacteria; Bacillati; Actinomycetota; Actinomycetes; Micrococcales; Kytococcaceae. The record is from Rfam by way of RNAcentral.
CGACCCCGCAGGGGAGAGUCCCGCACCGGGACGCCGAAGGAGCAACCUCCCCGGAAUCUCUCAGGCCCACGGACCCUGCGCGGUGA